GAUGAACGCUGGCGGCGUGCCUAAUACAUGCAAGUCGAGCGAGCAGACGAGGAGCUUGCUCCUCUGACGUUAGCGGCGGACGGGUGAGUAACACGUGGAUAACCUACCUAUAAGACUGGGAUAACUUCGGGAAACCGGAGCUAAUACCGGAUAAUAUAUUGAACCGCAUGGUUCAAUAGUGAAAGACGGUUUUGCUGUCACUUAUAGAUGGAUCCGCGCCGCAUUAGCUAGUUGGUAAGGUAACGGCUUACCAAGGCAACGAUGCGUAGCCGACCUGAGAGGGUGAUCGGCCACACUGGAACUGAGACACGGUCCAGACUCCUACGGGAGGCAGCAGUAGGGAAUCUUCCGCAAUGGGCGAAAGCCUGACGGAGCAACGCCGCGCGAGUGAUGAAGGUCUUCGGAUCGUAAAACUCUGUUAUUAGGGAAGAACAAAUGUGUAAGUAACUAUGCACGUCUUGACGGUACCUAAUCAGAAAGCCACGGCUAACUACGUG
This 497-nucleotide ribosomal RNA is filed under the name uncultured bacterium. Its description in RNAcentral is "partial 16S ribosomal RNA". It matches the Rfam family "Bacterial small subunit ribosomal RNA", at positions 28 to 507 of the family's 1533-position model. The record is from RNAcentral.